RNAcentral lists this ribosomal RNA (280 nucleotides) under Clostridium perfringens. RNAcentral describes it as "partial 23S ribosomal RNA". It matches the Rfam family "Bacterial large subunit ribosomal RNA", at positions 1240 to 1520 of the family's 2925-position model. Lineage: Bacteria; Bacillati; Bacillota; Clostridia; Eubacteriales; Clostridiaceae. The record is from RNAcentral.
CGUAACCGGGCUGAAGUCGUACCGUAAGGAGCGGUGGACUGGUUACGAGUGAGAAUGUUGGCAUCAGUAGCGAGAUGUGGGUGAGAAUCCCACAGGCCGAAAACCUAAGGUUUCCUCAGGAAGGUUCGUCCGCUGAGGGUUAGUCGGGACCUAAGCCGAGGCCGAAAGGCGUAGGUGAUGGACAACUGGUUGAUAUUCCAGUACCACUACCAUCGUUAUUAUCGAUGGCGUGACGCAGGAGGAUAGUGUGUGCUAGCUAUUGGAUGCUAGUCUAAGCGUU